CCUACGGGGGGCAGCAGUCGAGAAUCAUUCACAAUGGGGGAAACCCUGAUGGUGCGACGCCGCGUGGGGGAAUGAAGGUCUUCGGAUUGUAAACCCCUGUCAUGUGGGAGCAAAUUAAAAAGAUAGUACCACAAGAGGAAGAGACGGCUAACUCUGUGCCAGCAGCCGCGGUAAUACAUAGGUCUCAAGCGUUGUUCGGAAUCACUGGGCGUAAAGCGUGCGUAGGCUGUUUCGUAAGUCGUGUGUGAAAGGCGCGGGCUCAACCCGCGGACGGCACAUGAUACUGCGAGACUAGAGUAAUGGAGGGGGAACCGGAAUUCUCGGUGUAGCAGUGAAAUGCGUAGAUAUCGAGAGGAACACUCGUGGCGAAGGCGGGUUGCUGGACAUUAACUGACGCUGAGGCACGAAGGCCAGGGGAGCGAAAGGGAUUAGAUACCCCAGUAGUC
RNAcentral lists this ribosomal RNA (446 nucleotides) under uncultured bacterium. RNAcentral's name for it is "partial 16S ribosomal RNA". It matches the Rfam family "Bacterial small subunit ribosomal RNA", at positions 338 to 795 of the family's 1533-position model. The record is from RNAcentral.